Molecule: ribosomal RNA, 780 nt
Filed under: Mexitlia trivittata
Lineage: Eukaryota; Metazoa; Arthropoda; Arachnida; Araneae; Dictynidae
Description: eukaryotic LSU rRNA
Rfam family: Eukaryotic large subunit ribosomal RNA (bases 474-780)
Source: RNAcentral
GUGGGCCCUCGAAAUCCUGUGGCGGGAGGAUUCAGUCUGGAAGCGCGGGCGGCGCUGGUCGGAAGGCGAGUGAAGGGAUUCCCCCGACGGGGGCCGUCCGACCGCGUUCAGCGCGUGCCGAUCAGACGCAUUUGUCUCCCGUCCGGAGGACGCCGCAGCCGGUUGGGUAAUGCAAACUCGACGGCCUGAGAGGCGGAAGAUGGCAGGUGGCCGGUUGUUCGCCAUUCGAGGCGGACACGCCGGUUGUUAGCCGUUCCGCCGGUGUCCGUCACCCGACCGAGGUAUCGACACGCCUCCUCCCUUAAGCGGGAUGCGGGACAGAAGGGCGCGAGCGAGACACGCUGCCCUGUCGCACCGCACCUGCGGUGGACGGGCGUGCGGGAGCUCUCGUGGACUGCGUCCGCGGACCUGUGGGAGGCAGGAGGCUUGCGGCGAGUAGGUCGGUCACCCACCCGACCCGUCUUGAAACACGGACCAAGGAGUCUAACAUGUGCGCGAGUCAGUGGGACUUGUGUAGGCCCAGAGGCGCAAUGAAAGCGAAGGCGCGGCACGAGCCCGCCGAGUUGGGAUCCCCGUCGACGCGGGGCGCACCAACGACCCGUCCUACCCGGCACGUCCGGUUGGGCGGAGUGUGAGCGCACACGUUGGGACCCGAAAGAUGGUGAACUAUGCCCGGACAGGACGAAGCCAGAGGAAACUCUGGUGGAGGUCCGAAGCGGUUCUGACGUGCAAAUCGAUCGUCAGAUCCAGGUAUAGGGGCGAAAGACUAAUCGAACCAUC